UUGCUUCGUUGAUGUUCAUGCGGAGUGGAGAUUCCAUCGCUGUCAGAUGUCGACGUGACGAUUUCUCAAUUUGUAGCUUACCGCGAGGUUUUAAAUUCCUUCUGCCGCGCCGGAUCCACAUUCCCUUGAUCGAUCGAAAGUGAGUUUUCGUGUUCGACUUUCGGUGCCGCGGUGCUUGGCUGGGUGUGCGACGUGAUCGACGUUUCAGUUUUGUUGAGAUUGGUGCAGGACAAGAAUCGGAGGGGAGAUGCAUACAGGGCGAAAGUUUUGGACUCGAGUGUUUUUGGGAAAUGUGUCAUUUGUGGUGUUGGGCAAGAUGUUAAGAGUAAUAUAUAUUGUAGCUAAGGAUUACUAUGGAGGAGCCUGAUCAUUUACCCCUGGCAAAAGAAGGUACUCUUUCGCAUCUGAUCAUCAAGGCGUCAAUCCGUGAUGCUGCUAGUGCUGCAGGUUCAGGAUGAGGUCAAGGAGGAGGUUGAACGGGACUUACCGAAUUCAUCGUCGGAGAUUGAAGAUAGAGGUGCUUCGAAGGAUAGCAUGAAAACAAUGGAGGGUCACUAGUAAUCUGCUGGAGGCUCUGAUGAAGACUCUACUGAAUGCUGCAAUGGCAAUGAUACAACAAAUGUUAACGUUGCGGAUAGGGGUGAAGCUGAAGAUUGAGGCAUCCAGUGCGACUGAAAAGGGGUACGACGAAGAGGGUGGGUUGGACCCAGAUGUCGAUGAGUUCUUACAGUUCGAAAACUCCAAGGACGAGGAAGAAACUCCUCCACAUCAGGACAUUCUAAUGUACAUGUCUAUCAUCUAAUUAGUUGGUAUGUCCUAUGAACUGCACAAGCUGUGAGCUGACCACUCAAAUUCACGUCUAGAGAUCUCAUUUCUAAAUGCAUCGAAGCUCGAAGAAAUAGUCUUGAUGUAUUUUGCGGUUCAGAAGCAGUAGGUUUAGUGUCAACAGUCGCCCGAUAUGUAAUCUUUGUGGAGGUGGUAUUAGAUUCUUUAAAUCACGAAUACAGUAGGUGUUUGGUUCACUAGUUCUUCCAAUCAGUACCAACUCGACCGGUAGGUUCUCCUCAAUAAGCUUAUUAUGUAGUUCAUUCUCAAGCACCUCAUAGGAAAGAAGUCACCAUUGUUACGCAACCAAUACCCAUGUAUUAUAUGUGAAAACGCAGUAUUUCAUGCUAAUUUAAUCAAUUUUUUCACCCCUAGA
Molecule: long non-coding RNA, 1201 nt
Organism: Physcomitrium patens
Lineage: Eukaryota; Viridiplantae; Streptophyta; Bryopsida; Funariales; Funariaceae
Source: RefSeq, a predicted model, not a curated record